AGUGAACGCUGGCGGUAGGCCUAACACAUGCAAGUCGAACGGCAGCACAGUAAGAGCUUGCUCUUACGGGUGGCGAGUGGCGGACGGGUGAGGAAUACAUCGGAAUCUACUUUUUCGUGGGGGAUAACGUAGGGAAACUUACGCUAAUACCGCAUACGACCUACGGGUGAAAGCAGGGGAUCUUCGGACCUUGCGCGAUUGAAUGAGCCGAUGUCGGAUUAGCUAGUUGGCGGGGUAAAGGCCCACCAAGGCGACGAUCCGUAGCUGGUCUGAGAGGAUGAUCCGCCACACUGGAACUGAGACACGGUCCAGGCUCCUACGGGAGGCAGCAGUGGGGAAUAUUGGACAAUGGGCGCAAGCCUGAUCCAGCCAUACAGCGUGGGUGAAGAAGGCCUUCGGGUUGUAAAGCCCUUUUGUUGGGAAAGAAAAGCAGCAGGUUAAAACCCCGCUGUUCUGACGGUACCCAAAGAAUAAGCACCGGCUAACUUCGUG
This 492-nucleotide ribosomal RNA is filed under the name uncultured bacterium. Its description in RNAcentral is "partial 16S ribosomal RNA". It matches the Rfam family "Bacterial small subunit ribosomal RNA", at positions 29 to 507 of the family's 1533-position model. The record is from RNAcentral.